UUAACGCGAAAGGACUUACCAAGGCUUGACAUGCUCCGGACGCGCCCGGAGACGGGUGUUCCCCUUUGGGGUCGGUGCACAGGUGGUGCAUGGUUGUCGUCAGCUCGUGUCGUGAGAUGUUGGGUUAAGUCCCGCAACGAGCGCAACCCUUGUCCCAUGUUGCCAGCACUUCGGGUGGGAACUCAUGGGAGACUGCCGGGGUCAACUCGGAGGAAGGGGGGGGAGACGUCAAAUCAUCAUGCCCCUUAUGUCUUGGGCUUCACGCAUGCUACAAUGGCCGGUACAAAGGGUUGCGAUGCCGCGAGGUGGAGCUAAUCCCAGAAAGCCGGUCUCAGUUCGGAUCGGGGUGUGCAACUCGACCCCGUGAAGCGGAGUCGGUAGUAAUCGCAGAUCAGCAACGCGGUGGGAAUAUGACAU
This 417-nucleotide ribosomal RNA is filed under the name Arthrobacter sp. PM33. Its description in RNAcentral is "bacterial SSU rRNA". It matches the Rfam family "Bacterial small subunit ribosomal RNA", at positions 956 to 1370 of the family's 1533-position model. Lineage: Bacteria; Bacillati; Actinomycetota; Actinomycetes; Micrococcales; Micrococcaceae. The record is from RNAcentral.